GAUGAAGAACGCAGCGAAAUGCGAUAAGUAGUGUGAAUUGCAGAAUUCAGUGAAUCAUCGAAUCUUUGAACGCACAUUGCGCCCCUUGGUAUUCCAUGGGGCAUGCCUGUUCGAGCGUCAUUUGUACCUUCAAGCUCUGCUUGGUGUUGGGUGUUUGUCUCGCCUCUGCGUGUAGACUCGCCUCAAAAUAAUUGGCAGCCGGCAUAUUGAUUUCGGAGCGCAGUACAUCUCGCGCUUUGCACUCAUAACGACGACGUCCAAAAGUACAUUUUUACACUCUUGACCUCGGAUCAGGUAGGGAUACCCGCUGAACUUAAGCAUAUCAAUAAGCGGAGGA
This 337-nucleotide unclassified non-coding RNA is filed under the name soil metagenome. RNAcentral's name for it is "partial contains 5.8S ribosomal RNA, internal transcribed spacer 2, and large subunit ribosomal RNA". The stretch from base 1 to 120 matches the Rfam family "5.8S ribosomal RNA", at positions 35 to 154 of the family's 154-position model. The record is from RNAcentral.